GACGAACGCUGGCGGCGUGCUUAACACAUGCAAGUCGAGCGGUAAGGCCCUUUCAGGGGUACACGAGCGGCGAACGGGUGAGUAACACGUGGGUGACCUGCCUUUAGCUCUGGGAUAAGCCUGGGAAACUGGGUCUAAUACCGGAUACGACUCCGCGGUGCAUGCUGUGGGGUGGAAAGCCUUGUGCGGCUGGAGAUGGGCCCGCGGCCUAUCAGCUUGUUGGUGGGGUGAUGGCCACCAAGGCGACGACGGUAGCCGGCCUGAGAGGGCGACCGGCCACACUGGGACUGAGACACGGCCCAGACUCCUACGGGAGGCAGCAGUGGGGAAUCUUGCGCAAUGGGCGAAAGCCUGACGCAGCGACGCCGCGUGAGGGAUGACGGCCU
This 386-nucleotide ribosomal RNA is filed under the name uncultured bacterium. Its description in RNAcentral is "bacterial SSU rRNA". It matches the Rfam family "Bacterial small subunit ribosomal RNA", at positions 28 to 417 of the family's 1533-position model. The record is from RNAcentral.